Molecule: non-coding RNA, 1941 nt
Organism: Sus scrofa (pig)
Lineage: Eukaryota; Metazoa; Chordata; Mammalia; Artiodactyla; Suidae
Source: RefSeq, a predicted model, not a curated record
AAGGCUAAAAUAAACACGUUCUGGUUGCCCUGGAAGAAAGGGUGGGAAAGUAGCCCGCGGCGAAAAGCUCCUGACCCACUGAUGACCCCUUGGACUGAAACACUGGAAGCGAAAUCCUCUGACUCUGUGCAGUUUCAGAGAAGGGUCUGCUAUUUUCCAGUCACACUCUGAGGUCUGAUUGUCAGCUUUAUGUCUCAGAAAGUAUUCCUCGCAAUUCAGAAAAAGCUGUCUUAUGUUUCGAAGACGUAGAAAAUGCUCGCUUUUAGAAGGGAAUGAUGGCAAUAUUAUGGACUGUGGCUGGUGGAGAAAGCAAGAACUGAAUCUCAGGGCAAUUUUGAGUUUCAGAGAGGUCAGUAGUGAGUUUUUAAAAAAAGUCUAUGGCCUUCUGAAACCGAUGAUUUCUCUAUUUUUUCAAGUUAAAUGACUUUAGUGAACAUCUGUGCUAUCCCGUGCAUCUUUAUUGGAGGGGUCUUGAAAUGAAAUCCUAAGUGUUGCUUGUUUGUUUGCAGUACAUACGUAUAGUGUUGGCAUUGAGUACCCCUGGGAAUAGUGAGCAGGAGUGGGAUUUGGGCUUACUUGAAGUGCAGUGACUUAGCAGUUGAUCACAUUUUGCAGAAUUCUAUUUGCAAGCUUAGAAAAUUACCACACACAGUUCACCAUAUGGCACAACUUAUUUUGCUAAGGGGACUAUUGUAUUUGAAAAAUCAAAAGCACUCACUAAAUCCCCAAAUCUCUCUUUUUUUCCCCCUCUAUCUUCAUGGUUUCCAUGACUACAUUUCACAGCUCCAUAUUACAUCUUCAAUGUAAAUGAUUUCUCUGGAAAAACACUGUGGAGAAUUUUCAGAAGGAAGAAAGUGAGAGAGAUAUUUACUCUUCCAGGCAAAUGGUAUGUGUUGAUUUCCACAACUCUAUCUGGGACUGGGUACAACACCAAUGAGAAGUAAAUGUUAAAACCAUGAUUUCUCAAAAUUUUAAGAUGGAUCCUGUGACAAACUAGAGAUACUGGGGAUACAAAAUUUCAGCUGGCAGAAGAGAGUUGGUGGGAGUUCACUUGUGUAUAGUGAGUUGGAUUCUUAUACCGCCUAACAGUUUUUAAAUGCUCUACUUCUCUUUUAUCUUUGUGGUUUAAGGUGUGCUCUGAGCAUAUUUUUGGGUUAGGAGAAGGUACAGUCACCUGAAUUUUCCCUUCAUGAAUUUCUUAGAAUAACAAAGACAAAUAGACAUUUCUGGUGGGUUUUUUUUUUGUAUUAGGAAAAGAAUGUUAAAUUUAAUUCCAUUCCUUCUUAAAAAUUUUCUUCACAGCUGCCCUUUCCUAGUGUACCUUUCAUAUUAUCAAAGACCAUAUGUUGUUUUCAGUUGCAUGAAUGCUGUCUAGUCCACAGAGUUAUUAUUGUGUGUAACAUGAACACUACUCAGCUGCUGGAAGGCUGUGUCCAGAGCCAGAGUCUUCAUUGGUAUGUUUUAUAAGUGCUGGUACAAGGGCCUUCUAGAGUUGUUACUCAAAAAAGAAACUCUAAAUGUGCCAUAUCUUACAAACAGACAACACUGCUUCAAUGCUCCCACUCCUUGCUGUAGAAUAACAUCCUGCUGCUGCAAGAGGAAUAACACUUGAAAGGCCACGCCAGCAUGUGAAUGAAACAGACAGUGGCAGAGCUCCUAGGCAACCUUUACAUAAUCCUCCCUGUGCUGUCUCCUUCUUGGGCACACCGUUACCCUACUGGAGCAGGAUAUGAGGUAAGGGAAAAGAGCAGAAGAAUAAUCUAAGCUGUGGGAUAUGAAAGGAAGGAAUAGGAGGGAAAAAGAGGAAGGAGGGAGAGUGGAACAAGAAGUCAGUGUUUGUUUAAGGUUUGUCAUACCCCGAGGGCUGUGCUAGAUGCUUUAGACAUGUGAUCUCCUUUCAUUCUGUGUGUGUGCGCGCGCGCGCGCGUGUAAUGUGAGAAC